GACUCUCGGCAACGGAUAUCUCGGCUCUCGCAUCGAUGAAGAACGUAGCGAAAUGCGAUACUUGGUGUGAAAUGCAGAAUCCCAUGAACCAUCGAGUCUUUGAAUGCAAGUUGCGCCUGAAGCCAUUAGGCCGAGGGAACGUCUGCCUGGGCGUCA
This 156-nucleotide ribosomal RNA is filed under the name Capsicum annuum. RNAcentral describes it as "5.8S ribosomal RNA". It matches the Rfam family "5.8S ribosomal RNA". From Rfam's summary of the family: 5.8S ribosomal RNA (5.8S rRNA) is a component of the large subunit of the eukaryotic ribosome. Lineage: Eukaryota; Viridiplantae; Streptophyta; Magnoliopsida; Solanales; Solanaceae. The record is from Rfam by way of RNAcentral.